UCGGUGUCGCCUCUUGCAAUAAUGAAUAAGAGGUCCCGCCUGCCCUGUGACUAUAAGUUUAACGGCCGCGGUAUUUUGACCGCGCGAAGGUAGCGCAAUCACUUGUCUCUUAAAUAGAGACCUGUAUGAAUGGCACAACGAGGGCUUAGCUGUCUCCUCCCCUAAGUUAAUGAAAUUGAUCUCCCCGUGCAGAAGCGGGGAUAAACACAUAAGACGAGAAGACCCUAUGAAGCUUUAGACGGAAGGUAGCCCAAAAUACAAUGAACCCCUAACAAGGGGACAAACCAAAAGGACCCCUACCCCGAUGUCUUUGGUUGGGGCGACCGCGGGGAAAGAAAAAACCCCCACGUGGAACGGGAGUACAACUCCUUAAACUAAGAGCCCCAGCUCUAAGAAACAAAAUUUUUGACCUAUAGAUCCGGCAGUGCCGAUCAACGGACCGAGUUACUCUAGGGAUAACAGCGCAAUCCCCUUUUAGAGACCAUAUCAACAAGGGGGUUUACGACCUCGAUGUUGGAUCAGGACAUCCUAUUGGUGCAGCAGCUAUUAAGGGUUCGUUUGUUCAACGAUUAAAGUCCU
RNAcentral lists this ribosomal RNA (579 nucleotides) under Pagetodes antarcticus. Its description in RNAcentral is "partial 16S ribosomal RNA". It matches the Rfam family "Bacterial large subunit ribosomal RNA", at positions 1815 to 2597 of the family's 2925-position model. The record is from RNAcentral. Lineage: Eukaryota; Metazoa; Chordata; Actinopteri; Perciformes; Channichthyidae.